CUGUUUCUUAAUCAUUCUCUUUCUUCUCGAUCACUUGGUGAAUUGUGAAGUCCUUUUACCUGAGGCAAGAAAAAGAAGCUGGUCUACAUCAAAUCUCUAAUCGACCACGCUCGAUUGAACAGGUCUUAAAGUUUGUGACCACAUAUCAAUGUCAUACCUGACUAGAAAAGCAGACAGGGCAAAGAAAGAAAAAUUCUGGCCACAAGGGUCUCUCAGGUUUUGGCUAGCCCUUCCACAUGUUCCAGCAAAUGAUGUGGGCAAGAAUAAAAUUCAGCAUCCAUCAGCUUAAAGUUGCUAUCCCAGCAACUAUCGGAAAAGAGGUGAACAGUAUGUCCAGACAGCAUGGUGAAAUACGAGGAACCAAAAGGAAGAAAUGGAAAUAUAUGCAACUAGCUCUUUCUAAGAGAGUCAAAUCAGAAGUGGACAAAGCUUUGUGUGAUUAUUAACAAAGUAGCAUCAGAGCAUCCACCUUAAGUCCUCGAUAUCAAUAUUGUGCUGGGUAAAAGAUACCCUCUCCAUAGUUCCACAAUG
RNAcentral lists this long non-coding RNA (531 nucleotides) under Elaeis guineensis (African oil palm). RNAcentral describes it as "long non-coding RNA (EGUI_LNC004599)". The record is from RNAcentral. Lineage: Eukaryota; Viridiplantae; Streptophyta; Magnoliopsida; Arecales; Arecaceae.